RNAcentral lists this ribosomal RNA (465 nucleotides) under uncultured bacterium. RNAcentral describes it as "bacterial SSU rRNA". It matches the Rfam family "Bacterial small subunit ribosomal RNA", at positions 337 to 794 of the family's 1533-position model. The record is from RNAcentral.
UCCUACGGGAGGCAGCAGUGAGGAAUAUUGCGCAAUGGGGGAAACCCUGACGCAGCAACGCCGCGUGGGUGAAGAAGGCCUUCGGGUCGUAAAGCCCUUUCGGACGGGACGAACGCUCCGCGGUGACAAGCCGCGGAGUCUGACGGUACCGUAGGAAGAAGCACCGGCUAACUCCGUGCCAGCAGCCGCGGUAAUACGGAGGGUGCGAGCGUUGUUCGGAAUUACUGGGCGUAAAGCGCGUGUAGGCGGCCUUGCAAGUCAGGCGUGAAAGCCCUCGGCUUAACCGGGGAAGUGCGUCUGAAACUGCUUGGCUUGAGUACGGGAGAGGGAGGCGGAAUUCCCAGUGUAGAGGUGAAAUUCGUAGAUAUUGGGAGGAACACCGGUGGCGAAAGCGGCCUCCUGGACCGAUACUGACGCUGAGACGCGAAAGCGUGGGGAGCAAACAGGAUUAGAUACCCCGGUAGG